AGUUUUUUGAAUCCGUGAAGAGAUUUCUCCAAACAUCAACCAACCAAGGCUGGUGAAACAUUCAAGGUAAGUGAAGCG
Molecule: non-coding RNA, 78 nt
Organism: Schistosoma mattheei
Lineage: Eukaryota; Metazoa; Platyhelminthes; Trematoda; Strigeidida; Schistosomatidae
Source: Rfam